RNAcentral lists this unclassified non-coding RNA (319 nucleotides) under Hevea brasiliensis (rubber tree). Lineage: Eukaryota; Viridiplantae; Streptophyta; Magnoliopsida; Malpighiales; Euphorbiaceae. The record is from RNAcentral.
UGCCGGGCAGACCCGCCAUGUUCACGGUCACAGUGAAGAUGUCGUUGAGAUACAUCUCGAUCGGAUCGGCUUUGCCCUUCUCGCCGAUACCGAAUGCCGCCGAUGGUGUCGCCGGCGUCAGGAUNNNNNNNNNCCUUUCGCGAACACGUCCUCGAAGUCCUUCUUGAUCAGGGUGCGGACCUUCUGCGCGCGCAGAUAGUACGCGUCAUAAUAUCCGGCCGAGAGCACGUAAGUACCGAUCAUGACACGGCGGCGAACCUCCGCGCCGAACCCCUCUGCGCGGGUGUUCUCGUACAUCUCGACAAUGUUCUUGCCGUUG